RNAcentral lists this small nucleolar RNA (136 nucleotides) under Brassica rapa (field mustard). RNAcentral's name for it is "snoRNA snoR77". It matches the Rfam family "Small nucleolar RNA snoR77". Lineage: Eukaryota; Viridiplantae; Streptophyta; Magnoliopsida; Brassicales; Brassicaceae. The record is from Rfam by way of RNAcentral.
AGGCAGCCUACUUGUUAAAAAAAAAUUGAUGACAUGAGAGGUGUUUAACUGCUCCUAGAUUAAAUUACGCUUCUGCUCUUCAGACUUGCUGAGAUUUAUUAAUCUUUGAAGCUGGUCUAGUAGUCUUAAGCACAUU